GAUGAACGCUAGCUACAGGCUUAACACAUGCAAGUCGAGGGGUAACAAGAGAAAAGCUUGCUUUUCUUGUUGACGACCGGCGCACGGGUGAGUAACGCGUAUCCAACCUGCCUAUAACUAGGGAAUAACCUUGCGAAAGUAAGACUAAUACCCUAUGAUUUCCUUUGAUGACCUCAGCUUAGGAAUAAAGAUUUAUCGGUUACAGUUGGGGAUGCGUCUGAUUGGCUUGUUGGCGGGGUAACGGCCCACCAAGGCAACGAUCAGUAGGGGUUCUGAGAGGAAGGUCCCCCACAUUGGAACUGAGACACUGUCCAAACUCCUACGGGAGGCAGCAGUGAGGAAUAUUGGUCAAUGGGCGGAAGCCUGAACCAGCCAAGUAGCGUGCAGGAUGACGGCCCUAUGGGUUGUAAACUGCUUUUAUACAGGAAUAAAGUUAGCCACGUGUGGUUAUUUGUAGGUACUGUAUGAAUAAGGACCGGCUAAUUCCGUGCCAGCCGCCGCCGUAA
RNAcentral lists this ribosomal RNA (506 nucleotides) under uncultured bacterium. RNAcentral describes it as "partial 16S ribosomal RNA". It matches the Rfam family "Bacterial small subunit ribosomal RNA", at positions 28 to 523 of the family's 1533-position model. The record is from RNAcentral.